This 458-nucleotide ribosomal RNA is filed under the name uncultured bacterium. RNAcentral's name for it is "partial 16S ribosomal RNA". It matches the Rfam family "Bacterial small subunit ribosomal RNA", at positions 338 to 795 of the family's 1533-position model. The record is from RNAcentral.
CCUACGGGGGGCAGCAGUGGGGAAUAUUGCACAAUGGGGGAAACCCUGAUGCAGCGACGCCGCGUGAGUGAAGAAGUAAUUCGUUACGUAAAGCUCUAUCAGCAGGGAAGAAACACUGACCUUACGGUCAGCAGACGGUACCUGAGUAAGAAGCCCCGGCUACCUACGUGCCAGCAGCCGCGGUAAUACGUAGGGGGCAAGCGUUAUCCGGAGUUACUGGGUGUAAAGGGAGCGUAGCCGGUGCGCCAGGUCUGGAGUGAAAUGCCGCAGCUUAACUGCGGAAAUGCUUUGGAACCUGGCGAACUAGAGUGCGGGAGGGGUAAGCGGAAUUCCUAGUGUAGCGGUGAAAUGCGUAGAUAUUAGGAGGACAACCGGUGGCGAAGGCGGCUUACUGGACCGUAACUGACGUUGAGGCUCGAAAGCGUGGGGAGCAACCAGGAUUAGAUACCCCUGUAGUC